AGUGAACGCUGGCGGUAGGCCUAACACAUGCAAGUCGAACGGCAGCACAGUAAGAGCUUGCUCUUACGGGUGGCGAGUGGCGGACGGGUGAGGAAUACAUCGGAAUCUACUUUUUCGUGGGGGAUAACGUAGGGAAACUUACGCUAAUACCGCAUACGACCUACGGGUGAAAGCAGGGGAUCUUCGGACCUUGCGCGAUUGAAUGAGCCGAUGUCGGAUUAGCUAGUUUGCGGGGUAAAGGCCCACCAAGGCGACGAUCCGUAGCUGGUCUGAGAGGAUGAUCAGCCACACUGGAACUGAGACACGGUCCAGACCCCUACGGGAGGCAGCAGUGGGGAAUAUUGGACAAUGGGCGCAAGCCUGAUCCAGCCAUACCGCGUGAGUGAAGAAGGCCUUCGGGUUGUAAAGCCCUUUUGUUGGGAAAGAAAAGCAGCAGGUUAAUACCCCGCUGUUCUGACGGUACCCAAAGAAUAAGCACCGGCUAACUUCGUG
Molecule: ribosomal RNA, 492 nt
Filed under: uncultured bacterium
Lineage: Bacteria
Description: partial 16S ribosomal RNA
Rfam family: Bacterial small subunit ribosomal RNA
Source: RNAcentral